This 432-nucleotide ribosomal RNA is filed under the name uncultured Raoultella sp. Its description in RNAcentral is "bacterial SSU rRNA". It matches the Rfam family "Bacterial small subunit ribosomal RNA", at positions 355 to 774 of the family's 1533-position model. The record is from RNAcentral. Lineage: Bacteria; Pseudomonadati; Pseudomonadota; Gammaproteobacteria; Enterobacterales; Enterobacteriaceae.
UGGGGAAUAUUGCACAAUGGGCGCAAGCCUGAUGCAGCCAUGCCGCGUGUAUGAAGAAGGCCUUCGGGUUGUAAAGUACUUUCAGCGAGGAGGAAGGCGUUAAGGUUAAUAACCUUGGCGAUUGACGUUACUCGCAGAAGAAGCACCGGCUAACUCCGUGCCAGCAGCCGCGGUAAUACGGAGGGUGCAAGCGUUAAUCGGAAUUACUGGGCGUAAAGCGCACGCAGGCGGUCUGUUAAGUCAGAUGUGAAAUCCCCCGGGGCUCAACCUGGGAACUGCAUUUGAAACUGGCAGGCUUGAGUCUUGUAGAGGGGGGGUAGAAUUCCAGGUGUAGCGGUGAAAUGCGUUAGAGAUCUGGAGGAAUACCGGUGGCGAAGGCGGCCCCCUGGACAAAGACUGACGCUCAGGUGCGAAAAGCGUGGGGAGCAAACA